Molecule: long non-coding RNA, 412 nt
Filed under: Capsella rubella
Lineage: Eukaryota; Viridiplantae; Streptophyta; Magnoliopsida; Brassicales; Brassicaceae
Description: long non-coding RNA (CRUB_LNC005188)
Source: RNAcentral
AAGAAUAGAGGAAUAGUACCGUGGUGGUCUAUAAGCUGAUUGAUAAAUGUUGUUUAUAUAAGAUGCAGGUUUAGGUAUUUUAAAAAUCAUUAUCCAGAAGAAUAAACUUUGUUUGGGUCUUUUAUAAAUGUUAUAAUAUGACUUCAACAUUGACAUAGACAUCUCAACAUUUCUAAAUUUAAGCCGCCCCUCAAUUUGUAGUAGAUAGAAAUCUUUUAUUCUUUUUGUUUUUUUUUUUGGUCAUCCGAUUGAUUUUACUAGUACCAUGGCGAAAUACCAUGGAAUUACAAACUGAUGUUGGAGACGUACAAGAUUUUCAAUGAAAAAUAAACAUCUAAGAGCAGUAAAACUAUAUAUAAUAUCAAAAAACAUGUGUUUAAGUAUUAGUUUAUUACAAUAUUUAAUAUUUUUC